UGGGGGAUAUUGCACAAUGGGCGAAAGCCUGAUGCAGCGACGCCGCGUGAGGGAAGACGGUCUUCGGAUUGUAAACCUCUGUCUUCGGGGACGAUAAUGACGGUACCCGAGGAGGAAGCUCCGGCUAACUACGUGCCAGCAGCCGCGGUAAUACGUAGGGAGCGAGCGUUGUCCGGAAUUACUGGGUGUAAAGGGAGCGUAGGCGGGAGUGCAAGUUGAAUGUUAAAUCUAUCGGCUCAACCGGUAGCCGCGUUCAAAACUGCAUUUCUUGAGUGAAGUAGAGGUUGGCGGAAUUCCUAGUGUAGCGGUGAAAUGCGUAGAUAUUAGGAGGAACACCAGUGGCGAAGGCGGCCAACUGGGCUUUUACUGACGCUGAGGCUCGAAAGCGUGGGGAGCAAACAGGAUUAGAUACCCGCGUAGUCC
Molecule: ribosomal RNA, 423 nt
Filed under: uncultured bacterium
Lineage: Bacteria
Description: bacterial SSU rRNA
Rfam family: Bacterial small subunit ribosomal RNA
Source: RNAcentral